RNAcentral lists this ribosomal RNA (465 nucleotides) under uncultured bacterium. RNAcentral's name for it is "partial 16S ribosomal RNA". It matches the Rfam family "Bacterial small subunit ribosomal RNA", at positions 338 to 795 of the family's 1533-position model. The record is from RNAcentral.
CCUACGGGAGGCAGCAGUGGGGAAUAUUGCGCAAUGGGCGAAAGCCUGACGCAGCGACGCCGCGUGAGGGAUGAAGGUCUUCGGAUCGUAAACCUCUGUUAGCAGGGAAGAACGGUCACUGUGCUAAUCAGCAGUGAAUUGACGGUACCUGCAAAGGAAGCAACGGCUAACUCCGUGCCAGCAGCCGCGGUAAUAAGGAGGGUGCGAGCGUUAAUCGGAAUUUCUGGGCGUAAAGCGCUCGUAGGCGGUAGGUCAAGUCAAGGGUGAAAUCCCCGCGCUAAACGUGGGAACUGCCUUUGAAACUGGCAAACUGGAGUGUGUGAGAGGAUAGUGGAAUUCCAGGUGUAGGGGUGAAAUCCGUAGAUAUCUGGAGGAACAUCAGUGGCGAAGGCGACUAUCUGGCACAUAACUGACGCUGAGGAGCGAAAGCGUGGGUAGCAAACAGGAUUAGAUACCCGAGUAGUC